This 255-nucleotide ribosomal RNA is filed under the name uncultured bacterium. RNAcentral's name for it is "partial 16S ribosomal RNA". It matches the Rfam family "Bacterial small subunit ribosomal RNA", at positions 524 to 777 of the family's 1533-position model. The record is from RNAcentral.
UACGUAGGGAGCAAGCGUUGUCCGGAAUCAUUUGGGCGUAAAGCGCGCGUAGGCGGCCUCAUAAGUCCGUUGUGAAAGUCAAAGGCUCAACCUUUGAAAGCCGAUGGAUACUGCAGGGCUAGAGUCCGGAAGAGGCGAGUGGAAUUCCUGGUGUAGCGGUGGAAUGCGCAGAUAUCAGGAGGAACAUCAAUAGCGAAGGCAGCUCGCUGGGACGGUACUGACGCUAAGGCGCGAAAGCGUGGGGAGCGAACGAGG